GGAAUUUUGGGCAAUGGCCGAAAGGCUGACCCAGCGACGCCGCGUGCGGGAGGACGCCCUUCGGGGUGUAAACCGCUGUCAGAGGGGACGAAUGACUCAUGCGGGAAUACUGCAUGGGAGUGACGGUACCCUCAGAGGAAGCACCGGCUAACUCUGUGCCAGCAGCCGCGGUAAUACAGAGGGUGCGAGCGUUGUUCGGAAUCACUGGGCGUAAAGCGCGCGCAGGCGGGACCUGCAAGUCGGGAGUGAAAGGCCGGGGCUCAACCCCGGAGCUGCUUUCGAGACUGCGGACCUGGAGACCAGUAGGGGUUGGUGGAAUUCCCGGUGUAGCGGUGGAAUGCGUAGAUAUCGGGAAGAACACCCGUGGCGAAGGCGACUACCUGGACCAGCACUGACACUGAGGCACGAAAGCGUGGGGAGCAAA
Molecule: ribosomal RNA, 424 nt
Filed under: uncultured bacterium
Lineage: Bacteria
Description: bacterial SSU rRNA
Rfam family: Bacterial small subunit ribosomal RNA
Source: RNAcentral